GAUGAACGCUGGCGGCGUGCCUAAUACAUGCAAGUCGAGCGAACAGACGAGGAGCUUGCUCCUUUGACGUUAGCGGCGGACGGGUGAGUAACACGUGGGUAACCUACCUAUAAGACUGGGAUAACUUCGGGAAACCGGAGCUAAUACCGGAUAAUAUUUCGAACCGCAUGGUUCGAUAGUGAAAGAUGGCUUUUCUAUCACUUAUAGAUGGACCUGCGCCGUAUUAGCUAGUUGUUAAGGUAACGGCUUACCAAGGCAACGAUACGUAGCCGACCUGAGAGGGUGAUCGGCCACACUGGAACUGAGACACGGUCCAGACUCCUACGGGAGGCAGCAGUAGGGAAUCUUCCGCAAUGGGCGAAAGCCUGACGGAGCAACGCCGCGUGAGUGAUGAAGGUCUUCGGAUCGUAAAACUCUGUUAUUAGGGAAGAACAAACGUGUAAGUAACUGUGCACGUCUUGACGGUACCUAAUCAGAAAGCCACGGCUAACUACGUG
Molecule: ribosomal RNA, 497 nt
Filed under: uncultured bacterium
Lineage: Bacteria
Description: partial 16S ribosomal RNA
Rfam family: Bacterial small subunit ribosomal RNA
Source: RNAcentral